RNA transcript from Pleuronectes platessa (European plaice), 746 nucleotides. It is a transcript of the gene named cytochrome c oxidase assembly factor 5, with no coding region annotated. The transcript is spliced from 5 exons. The record is from RefSeq and is a predicted model, not a curated record. Lineage: Eukaryota; Metazoa; Chordata; Actinopteri; Pleuronectiformes; Pleuronectidae.
UCUUCACACCACCUACUUCCGUGUACCCAUCAUGCCGUUUCAGAAACAUGGCGGCUGAAUUUUCAUAACAUCGAUGCCUUUGCGGUCAGUCGUUCGCCCAUUGCACCAAAUAAACAAGACAAGAGUUGUGUUGCAGUGGAUUUCACACGAUGCCGAAGUAUUACGAAGAUAAAGAGACGGAUGACAGAGCCUGUGCUGGAGUCAGAGAAGACUUUAGAGAAUGUCUCCUUCGACACGACUGCGUUGUAAAGGAGGGGAAACUGCCCAGCGAGUGUCUGAAGGAAGGCCACUGCAAAGCCCUGCAGACUUCAUUCUUUGAGUGCAAGAGGUCGAUGCUGGACACGAGGUCACGAUUCAGAGGAAGGAAAGGAUAUUGAAGCACCAAUGAAAGGCUGAUGUCGCUGUGUCGUUGAGGUUCCUGGUUGAGCAGCUGUAAAUACUUCUCUUGUUCACGGAGCCCUCGCAGUUUACUGGGUAGAGACGGAUCCAACUUCACAGCCAGAGCCAGAUCCAGACCGGGGGGGUUGGGGUCAGGUGCGUCUCCGAGCCCGUCCUGUCCAUGGAAGUGUCCCGCAUCAAUGGUGUUCCCCAGAAUCGGCUUAGCAGCACCUUUAAACACUGGAAUCUGGCUCACAGGAGAAAAGUCAAUUAAUGCUUUACUGCUGCUCUUAGUUUUCGUAACAAAGUAUUAGAAUUUGGGAAAUAUGUAUAUAUAUAUACAGUCAAUUCCAUGAGAUGAUAUAAAU